CCUACGGGAGGCAGCAGUGAGGAAUAUUGGUCAAUGGCCGGAAGGCUGAACCAGCCAUGCCGCGUGAAGGUCAGUGCCCUAUGGGCGUUAAACUUCUUCUGUGCGGGAGCAAUAAUGGUCACGUGUGGCCAGACGAGAGUACCGUACGAAUAAGCAUCGGCUAACUCCGUGACAGCAGCCGCGGUAAUAUGGGGGAUGCAAGCGUUAUCCGGGUUUAUUGGGGUUAAAGGGGGCGUAGGCCGGGAGGUAAGUCAGCGGUGAAAUGCCCCCGGUCAACGGGGUGAAGUGCCAUUGAUACUGCCUUGCUGGAAUGCGGAUGCGGUGGGAGGAAUGUGUGGUGUAGCGGUGAAAUGCAUAGAUAUCACACAGAACACCGAUUGCGAAGGCAUCUCACGAAUCCGCGAUUGACGCUGAUGCACGAAAGCGUGGGUAUCAAACAGGAGUAGAUACCCCUGUAGUC
RNAcentral lists this ribosomal RNA (460 nucleotides) under uncultured bacterium. Its description in RNAcentral is "partial 16S ribosomal RNA". It matches the Rfam family "Bacterial small subunit ribosomal RNA", at positions 338 to 795 of the family's 1533-position model. The record is from RNAcentral.